ACUUAAAUUGAAGAGUUUGAUCAUGGCUCAGAUUGAACGCUGGCGGCAGGCCUAACACAUGCAAGUCGAGCGGUAGCACAGAGAGCUUGCUCUCGGGUGACGAGCGGCGGACGGGUGAGUAAUGUCUGGGAAACUGCCUGAUGGAGGGGGAUAACUACUGGAAACGGUAGCUAAUACCGCAUAAUGUCGCAAGACCAAAGUGGGGGACCUUCGGGCCUCAUGCCAUCAGAUGUGCCCAGAUGGGAUUAGCUAGUAGGUGGGGUAAUGGCUCACCUAGGCGACGAUCCCUAGCUGGUCUGAGAGGAUGACCAG
Molecule: ribosomal RNA, 312 nt
Filed under: Klebsiella pneumoniae
Lineage: Bacteria; Pseudomonadati; Pseudomonadota; Gammaproteobacteria; Enterobacterales; Enterobacteriaceae
Description: bacterial SSU rRNA
Rfam family: Bacterial small subunit ribosomal RNA
Source: RNAcentral